This 497-nucleotide ribosomal RNA is filed under the name uncultured bacterium. RNAcentral's name for it is "partial 16S ribosomal RNA". It matches the Rfam family "Bacterial small subunit ribosomal RNA", at positions 28 to 507 of the family's 1533-position model. The record is from RNAcentral.
GAUGAACGCUGGCGGCGUGCCUAAUACAUGCAAGUCGAGCGAACGGACGAGAAGCUUGCUUCUCUGAUGUUAGCGGCGGACGGGUGAGUAACACAUGGAUAACCUACCUAUAAGACUGGGAUAACUUCGGGAAACCGGAGCUAAUACCGGAUAAUAUUUUGAACCGCAUGGUUCAAAAGUGAAAGGCGGUCUUGCUGUCACUUAUAGAUGGAUCCGCGCUGCAUUAGCUAGUUGGUAAGGUAACGGCUUACCAAGGCAACGAUGCAUAGCCGACCUGAGAGGGUGAUCGGCCACACUGGAACUGAGACACGGUCCAGACUCCUACGGGGGGCAGCAGUAGGGAAACUUCCGCAAUGGGCGAAAGCCUGACGGAGCAACGCCGCGUGAGUGAUGAAGGUCUUCGGAUCGUAAAACUCUGUUAUUAGGGAAGAACAUAUGUGUAAGUAACUGUGCACAUCUUGACGGUACCUAAUCAGAAAGCCACGGCUAACUACGUG